RNAcentral lists this ribosomal RNA (414 nucleotides) under uncultured bacterium. RNAcentral's name for it is "bacterial SSU rRNA". It matches the Rfam family "Bacterial small subunit ribosomal RNA", at positions 64 to 507 of the family's 1533-position model. The record is from RNAcentral.
GAACGCGGCAUUGGGCAACCAGUGCCGAGUGGCGGACGGGUGAGGAACACGUGGGUUAUCUACCAAGAGGUGAGGAAUACCGGCGAGAAAUCGCCGACAAUACCGCAUAGGUUUGGAGACAAACAAAGUUGAGCAAUCAACGCCUUUUGAUGAGCCUGCGUCCGAUUAGCUGGUUGGUGGGGUAAAAGCCUACCAAGGCGACGAUCGGUAGCUGGUCUGAGAGGACGAUCAGCCACACUGGGAUUGAGAACGGCCCAGACUCCUACGGGGGGCAGCAGUGAGGAAUUUUCGUCAAUGGGGGCAACCCUGAACGAGCAACGCCGCGUGCAGGAAGAAGGUUUUCGGAUCGUAAACUGCUUUUCUUGGGGAAGAGAAUGGACGGUACCCAAGGAAUAAGCCCCGGCUAACUACGUG